RNAcentral lists this ribosomal RNA (449 nucleotides) under Curtobacterium sp. Its description in RNAcentral is "bacterial SSU rRNA". It matches the Rfam family "Bacterial small subunit ribosomal RNA", at positions 1 to 455 of the family's 1533-position model. Lineage: Bacteria; Bacillati; Actinomycetota; Actinomycetes; Micrococcales; Microbacteriaceae. The record is from RNAcentral.
AUGAGUUUGAUCGUGGCUCAGGACGAACGCUGGCGGCGUGCUUAACACAUGCAAGUCGAACGAUGAUCAGGAGCUUGCUCCUGUGAUUAGUGGCGAACGGGUGAGUAACACGUGAGUAACCUGCCCCUGACUCUGGGAUAAGCGUUGGAAACGACGUCUAAUACUGGAUAUGACUACUGGUCGCAUGGCCUGGUGGUGGAAAGAUUUUUUGGUUGGGGAUGGACUCGCGGCCUAUCAGCUUGUUGGUGAGGUAAUGGCUCACCAAGGCGACGACGGGUAGCCGGCCUGAGAGGGUGACCGGCCACACUGGGACUGAGACACGGCCCAGACUCCUACGGGAGGCAGCAGUGGGGAAUAUUGCACAAUGGGCGAAAGCCUGAUGCAGCAACGCCGCGUGAGGGAUGACGGCCUUCGGGUUGUAAACCUCUUUUAGUAGGGAAGAAGCGAAA